RNAcentral lists this long non-coding RNA (1426 nucleotides) under Parus major (Great Tit). RNAcentral's name for it is "lncRNA (ENSPMJG00000017072.1)". Lineage: Eukaryota; Metazoa; Chordata; Aves; Passeriformes; Paridae. The record is from RNAcentral.
CUCCGUGCAUGUUAUGGCACCUUUGGGAUGUGUUAGUCAUAAGAAUGAAGCUACUGGUGCUUUGCAGGAAUAUUUUCACUCUGGCUCUCGCAGGAGAGCUCUGACACAGCCCUGCUGUCGGCACGGCUGGGGCGCGUUUGCUCGCUGGUGCCUCCUGAGAUUCCAGACCGCUCCAAAAAAACAGGGGGAAACAUCCAAUUUUUAUUUCCUCAGGGAACACUAAGAAAAUUUUUCUUUCCGAGCCUGUCUCCUGAAACGAGCUCCAGGAGUGGUCACAACCUGCCAUAAAAAUGCCAUGUGCAAGAGAAUAUAUUUAAUAUCGGGCAAGCAGAAUGGAACGAUACGAUCUGUUUGGGGUUGGAAGCUUUUCCAGGCAAAGGAGGAUCUGCUCCAUCACCAUCUGUGCAGCCGCUGGCAGGGGCAGCUCCCCAGCCACACCAAAGGAAUUCCCCGAGCCCAAAAACACCCCAGGCAUCGCCUUUGUGAAGGACAGAACUUCACAAAGUCCAUCCCACUGAUGGAUGACAGAGGGAGGAUCUGCAGCCUGAGAGGAUCCCUUGGGAUGGCCCUGACUGCCUUGGUGACACCAUCUGAAUUACACUUCCCCUUUCAUCAGACUCCUGGCAUCACAAAAAGAGCCUCUUGAGAUUUCCCGACUGGAGAUGGAUGAAUGAGCCCAACAGUGCCUGGCUCGAGGUGUGAUGUCCCUCCAGAACAGAACAAACCCUGAACUUCCUUCAGAUGAGUGUUUGGAGAUGUUUGAUGUUUGGAGAUGUUUGAUGUUUGGACACAGCCCAGCAGCACUGUCUGGCCUCUGCAUGGGUGGCAUAUUUUGGGGAGGAGGUAUUUUGGGAAACCAGGGCUCAGCACACACCGACCUCUCUCAGGUGGGCUGGGCUGUCUGAAGUGCAUUUCUACCUGAAAGAACGGAGUCAGGGUGAAAACCAGCCUGGGACAUCUCCCCAGAACAACUUGCAGCUUGAUUUUCAGGCCCUUCCUCCUUCAACAAACACCAUGUCCCAAACAAAAUACCUCCAUCAACACCAAAAUCCCUUGGACAAGCCCCUGAACAAGUGGUGUGUACACUUUCAACUGAUAGCUGAUUCCAGCUAGUUGUUGUCCUCAGAGAACAAGAAAAGAGACAGGAAAGUUGGCCCGAGGUCAAUUCCUGCCCUGGGUAGCGCUGUAAUGCAAGAGGAUUUAUGAAUCUUUAAUUGCAGUUGCUUUGCUAUAAAUGCUUAAUGAAAACACCGUGUCCAAGGCUGUCGGUGAUCAGGGGGGUUACAAGGAGGUUAAAUAACCUGCAGGGCAGGAAUCACAAAGGACCCAGCUGGAUUCCUCGUGGAUCUGCUCUGGAGAGGGGCUGCCAGGGCUGCAGGGGUGUGAUGAGGGUGGUGUGAUGAGGGUGUGAUGUGAGUGUGAUGAG